This 371-nucleotide ribosomal RNA is filed under the name uncultured eukaryote. RNAcentral describes it as "partial 18S ribosomal RNA". It matches the Rfam family "Eukaryotic small subunit ribosomal RNA", at positions 592 to 975 of the family's 1831-position model. The record is from RNAcentral.
CAAUAGCGUAUAUUAAAGUUGUUGCAGUUAAAAAGCUCGUAGUUGGAUUUGUGGCGGUUCCUGUGGUCCGAUUUCGGUACUUUCGGGGACUGCCAUCCUUGGGUGGAUCCUGUGUGGCAUUAGGUUGUCGUGCAGGGGAUGCCCAUCGUUUACUGUGAAAAAAUUAGAGUGUUCAAAGCAGGCUUACGCCGUUGAAUAUAUUAGCAUGGAAUAAUGAGAUAGGACCUUGGUACUAUUUUGUUGGUUUGCGCACCGAGGUAAUGAUUAAUAGGGACAGUUGUGGGUAUUCGUAUUCCAUUGUCAGAGGUGAAAUUCUUGGAUUUCUGGAAGACGAACGAAUGCGAAAGCAUUUACCAAGGAUGUUUUCAUUA